UGGGGAAUAUUGGACAAUGGGCGAAAGCCUGAUCCAGCCAUGCCGCGUGAGUGAUGAAGGCCCUAGGGUUGUAAAGCUCUUUCAACGGUGAAGAUAAUGACGGUAACCGUAGAAGAAGCCCCGGCUAACUUCGUGCCAGCAGCCGCGGUAAUACGAAGGGGGCUAGCGUUGUUCGGAAUUACUGGGCGUAAAGCGCACGUAGGCGGACAUUUAAGUCAGGGGUGAAAUCCCGGGGCUCAACCCCGGAACUGCCUUUGAUACUGGGUGUCUCGAGUCCGGAAGAGGUGAGUGGAAUUCCGAGUGUAGAGGUGAAAUUCGUAGAUAUUCGGAGGAACACCAGUGGCGAAGGCGGCUCACUGGUCCGGUACUGACGCUGAGGUGCGAAAGCGUGGGGAGCAAACA
RNAcentral lists this ribosomal RNA (402 nucleotides) under uncultured bacterium. Its description in RNAcentral is "bacterial SSU rRNA". It matches the Rfam family "Bacterial small subunit ribosomal RNA", at positions 355 to 774 of the family's 1533-position model. The record is from RNAcentral.